UACGGGGGGGGCAAGCGUUGUUCGGAAUUACUGGGCGUAAAGGGCGCGUAGGCGGCCUUCUAAGUCGGACGUGAAAUCCCUCGGCUUAACCGAGGAACUGCGUCCGAUACUGAAAGGCUUGAAUCCGGGAGAGGGAUGUGGAAUUCCAGGUGUAGCGGUGAAAUGCGUAGAUAUCUGGAGGAACACCGGUGGCGAAGGCGGCAUCCUGGACCGGCAUUGACGCUGAGGCGCGAAAGCUAGGGGAGCGAAUGGG
RNAcentral lists this ribosomal RNA (253 nucleotides) under uncultured bacterium. Its description in RNAcentral is "partial 16S ribosomal RNA". It matches the Rfam family "Bacterial small subunit ribosomal RNA", at positions 524 to 776 of the family's 1533-position model. The record is from RNAcentral.